RNAcentral lists this ribosomal RNA (163 nucleotides) under Lophogyne fimbriata. Its description in RNAcentral is "5.8S ribosomal RNA". It matches the Rfam family "5.8S ribosomal RNA". Rfam says of the family: 5.8S ribosomal RNA (5.8S rRNA) is a component of the large subunit of the eukaryotic ribosome. It is transcribed by RNA polymerase I as part of the 45S precursor that also contains 18S and 28S rRNA. Functionally, it is thought that 5.8S rRNA may be involved in ribosome translocation. The record is from RNAcentral. Lineage: Eukaryota; Viridiplantae; Streptophyta; Magnoliopsida; Malpighiales; Podostemaceae.
AAACGACUCUUGGCAACGGAUAUCUCGGCUCUUGCAUCGAUGAAGAACGUAGCGAAAUGCGAUACUUGGUGUGAAUUGCAGAAUCCCGUGAAUCAUCGAGUCUUUGAACGCAAGUUGCGCCCGACGCCUUUUGGCCGAGGGCACGUCUGCCUGGGCGUCAUGA